Chrysemys picta bellii (western painted turtle) is the source of this 510-nucleotide RNA transcript. It is a transcript of the gene named coiled-coil-helix-coiled-coil-helix domain containing 7, with no coding region annotated. The record is from RefSeq and is a predicted model, not a curated record. NCBI's taxonomy places the organism in Eukaryota, Metazoa, Chordata, Testudines, Emydidae.
GUCCGGGGGGAGCCGCGGGGCCGGGAGCGGGCUAGGCUGCGCCUCUACAUAACUGCUGCCGCCCGAGCUGCCGCUGACGUCUUUCGAAUUGGAGACGGGGCUCGCGCGCCUGCUUAGCCGCCCGUGAGCUGCAGUAAGACAUUUUAGGAUGUCCAGAAAUGUGCAGCGACUUAGAGACCACGAUACAAAUCCAUGUCUAGCGCUCUUAAGUGUGACAUGUCUUCCAUAUUAAAGGAAACGGAUGCCUCUAGACAAUGUUUGGAUGACAAUAACUACAGAAAGGAUAUGUGUGCCUCUUAUUUUUUAAAGUACAAAAACUGCAGAAAAUUUUGGCAUGCCAUUAUGAUACAAAGGAGAAGAGAUGGUGUGAAACCAAAUAUGCCUACAGCAGACGAGAGAGAGAAUAUAUUGAAGUCAAUAGGAGGAACACCAUACUGAUCACACAAUCUUUGUUUAAUAUUAUGUACAUAUGAAGAUUUGUCAGCUAGGCAUUAAAUUUUUUUAACAUUG